UCCUACGGGAGGCAGCAGUGGGGAAUUUUGGACAAUGGGCGCAAGCCUGAUCCAGCCAUGCCGCGUGAGUGAAGAAGGCCUUCGGGUUGUAAAGCUCUUUCGGUGGGGAAGAAAUUGCACUUGAUAAUACCGAGUGUAGAUGACGGUACCUGAAGAAUAAGCACCGGCUAACUACGUGCCAGCAGCCGCGGUAAU
RNAcentral lists this ribosomal RNA (195 nucleotides) under uncultured bacterium. RNAcentral's name for it is "partial 16S ribosomal RNA". It matches the Rfam family "Bacterial small subunit ribosomal RNA", at positions 337 to 524 of the family's 1533-position model. The record is from RNAcentral.